AUUUUUUUUCUAUCUUUUCUCUCCUCUUUUGCCUGAGAAGUUGGAUCUCAUCACCACCAGAACAAAAAUAAUAGAUCUAUAUACACGAGAUGAAACAAUUGCUGGAAUAAAUCAAAACUGAUCUUCCAACAGAUGACAUAUAUGUUUCAACAGAUAAAAGAUGUCUCUCCAAAAAAAGAAAAGUAAAAGUGGGAUCAACUUAUGAUCGACCAACUUAAAAGGCUGGAGUAAAGAUGGUAUGUGUUACUGAUUAGAAUAUCAUGAAAACCCACAUAAAGUAGAACGAUUUUAUGAAUGUUGUUUUUUUACUAAUUAGGCAUUGACCAUUAAAACAAGAUUUUGCCUUUUACAGUUAAGUUUGGUAGGUCUGAACUAAUAAGGCAGAAGAACCUAGAAGGUGGUGUGGAUACCCUGCUAUAGUUAAUAAUGGUUUUGAUAAUGUUUUUAUUUACGUGUUUAGUGUGGAGAAGGGAUAAGAUUUUAUGGCAGUGUAUAUGUUUAAUAGUAAUAGGACUGGUUUAAAGGGUUCAACGGAUUAUUGAAAGGCCUCCAACUAUAAAAUUCUUUGAGGGAUGAUUUUUUUCUAGAAAACUAGAUCUCAGAUUGUAAAAUGAACACUCAGCUAAAGUACAGACUAAAGUGAAUCUGUACUUUAUAUGAGUGUACAUUUUACUGCCUGAGAUCUAAUUUCUCAGGAAUAAAAUCAUCCCUCAAAGUAUUUUAUAGUCGGAGGCCUUUGAACAAUCCGUUGGACCCUUAAGACCAAUCCUAUCACUAUUAAACAUCUACACUGCCAUCAAAUCUUUAUCCCUUCUCCAAACUAUACACAUAAAUAUAAACAUUAGCAAAACCAUCAUUAGACUGUAGCAGGGUAUCCACACCACCUUGUAAGUCGCUCAGCCUUAUCAGUUCAGACCUACCAAACUUAACUUUAAAAGGCAAGAUCUUAUUUUAAUGAUUAAUACCUAAACGAUACAAAAUAAUAUUCACAAAAUAAUUGUACUUUAUUUGUGUUUGUCAUAAUAACCUAAUAGUAAUACAUACCUCACAAAUAUAAAAGUGGAUCCAUCCAUUUACAUGCACCUUAUUCUUCCUACCCUAUUUGUUCCCAUCAAUGACAGAAAUAAAAUAGUGUUUUAUCUUUAAUAUCUUCAAUUUCCAUCAUGAAGUAGUGUACAAAAAACGUAAAAGUAGUUUGAUUAAAUCAACAAAUUAGCUACCUGUUGCAACAAAUAACUCAUUUGUUGGAAUUUAUCAAACAGACAGGUAAGCUGUUGCGACAAAUUACAUAUCUGUUGGAAGGAAAUCAAAAUAGGUCCUACUAGUUGUUUGAUUUAAUCCAACAGAUCACUAACCUAUUGCAACA
This is a long non-coding RNA of Capsicum annuum, 1366 nucleotides long. RefSeq lists it as uncharacterized. The transcript is spliced from 3 exons. The record is from RefSeq and is a predicted model, not a curated record. Lineage: Eukaryota; Viridiplantae; Streptophyta; Magnoliopsida; Solanales; Solanaceae.